CUUAAUGUGGCAGAUAAGUGCAAUGAAUUUAAGCUUCAUUUAUAAAGAUCUUUCUUUCAUUAAGA
This 65-nucleotide transfer RNA is filed under the name Sphedanolestes impressicollis. RNAcentral describes it as "tRNA-Leu". The record is from RNAcentral. Lineage: Eukaryota; Metazoa; Arthropoda; Insecta; Hemiptera; Reduviidae.